AACGAACGCUGGCGGCAUGCCUAACACAUGCAAGUCGAACGAGACCUUCGGGUCUAGUGGCGCACGGGUGCGUAACGCGUGGGAACCUGCCCUUAGGUUCGGAAUAACUCCCCGAAAGGGGGGCCAAAAACGGGAAAUGGCUUCGGACCAAAGAUUUAUCGCCUUUGGAUGGGCCCGCGUUGGAUUAGCUAGUUGGUAGGGUAAAAGCCUACCAAGGCGACGAUCCAUAGCUGGUCUGAGAGGAUGAUCAGCCACACUGGGACUGAGACACGGCCCAGACUCCUACGGGAGGCAGCAGUGGGGAAUAUUGGACAAUGGGCGAAAGCCUGAUCCAGCAAUGCCGCGUGAGUGAUGAAGGCCUUAGGGUUGUAAAGCUCUUUUACCCGGGAUGAUAAUGACAGUACCGGGAGAAUAAGCUCCGGCUAACUCCGUG
This 433-nucleotide ribosomal RNA is filed under the name uncultured bacterium. Its description in RNAcentral is "partial 16S ribosomal RNA". It matches the Rfam family "Bacterial small subunit ribosomal RNA", at positions 29 to 507 of the family's 1533-position model. The record is from RNAcentral.